Corapipo altera (White-ruffed manakin) is the source of this 704-nucleotide long non-coding RNA. RefSeq lists it as uncharacterized. NCBI's taxonomy places the organism in Eukaryota, Metazoa, Chordata, Aves, Passeriformes, Pipridae. The transcript is spliced from 3 exons. The record is from RefSeq and is a predicted model, not a curated record.
GUUAGCUCAGUUGGUUAGAGCGUGGUGCUAAUAACGCCAAGGUCGCGGGUUCGAUCCCCGUACGGGCCAAAGUAGUCCUUUUGAGCCCGUCUCCCUUUUGGGGGCUGCUGGUGCUGUUUCUCCCCCGCCCUCUUUGUGCCGAUCAGCGGAAGGGAGAGGUAAAACCGCCCUUUUGGUGCCGCCUGGACCUUGUCGUGGUCACCCACGGAGCAGAGCAGGUGGCGGAUGGUAACACGGAAGUGAACGCGGUGGCCCCCGGCGGGAAGCUUGACUUGGGCGAUCAGACGGCGACAGCGACCUUGAGCCGACGCGGGACAUGUCCCCACGCCGCCCGGGCGCAGGGACAGCCGUCACCCGCAGCUCCGGAACCCGCGACAGACGUUCCUCGACGAGGUUUGUGCCGGGAGUCAAAAGAACAAUCAUUCCGGGGCUGGGAACAGUGUGAAGUGCUAUUUAGAGACCCUCGGGGCAAUGGGCAACAUGCUUCCUGAUCCAUCUCUGACCUCCUCGGCAAAGGAGCUGAUCUGAGGCAGGGGUGUUAUCCUGUCGUGACCACAGCUGAAAUGCUCAAUGCUGAGAUUUUCUCCUCAAAUGGACAGCCAGCCUUCCCCUCAGGUAACACGGUGCCCCAACCCGGAUUCUCCCAGCUACUCAUCGGCCAAGUCGUGCUACUGCAGCAUCCAAAUACAUGUGAUUAAGUACCA